This 1963-nucleotide long non-coding RNA is filed under the name Populus trichocarpa (black cottonwood). Its description in RNAcentral is "long non-coding RNA (PTRI_LNC003079)". Lineage: Eukaryota; Viridiplantae; Streptophyta; Magnoliopsida; Malpighiales; Salicaceae. The record is from RNAcentral.
GCGAAGACACCUUAGAGAAGGUGUGUGAGGGCCGUGAUAGGAGCCCCAGUUCAGACCGCCCCAUGACAACGGGCGAAGACACCUUAAAGAAGGUGUAUGGGCCACGAUAGGAGCCCAAGUUCAGAACAACCCCAGAGCCAAUGUGAUGGCUGGAUAUGAGUGGACAGAGGGAUAGCCAAUGAAGUGGCUAUGAUGAGUAUGGAGACAAAUGCAGGAUUGACUUUCAUGGAUAUUGCCCCCAUGCUAAAGAUCAAUGAGCUAGAAGACAUUUGCCUUGGACAAUAAGUGUGUGACUUGUGGAGCAUUAAGACGCGGCUGCUAUGAAGAAGCAGAAGGGCAUGCGCAGGUUCCGAGAACGAGUUGACUCUUGUCAAGGUGGUGAGCUCGGUAAUGGCAUUGUAAUACUCAGAGUAUGAAGACAGAUAUGGAUCAACCUUUAAUGGGCUGCCCCCAUAGGUAAAGGUGGAGAGCUACCUGGACUCUUGAGACUAAGAGCGAGAGACUCACGGAGAAGUAAGGCGUGGUUCCUAGGGUGGAACAGAGGGCAGGCGCAACUCCUGGAUGAGUAGACUCUUGGAAGAGUGGUGAGCUCGUGAUCAUAUUGAGAUACUCAGAUAAUGACUGUCGCACUUGGAAAUAGAAAUUUCCGUUUGAGGGGGUGUUGUAAGCCUUGGUGUGAGGCUUGAUGAAUCAUUCCGGACCGAGCAUGGUUGAUACGCUCGAAGGGGAAUGCAGUGUAUCCCAGAGACAAGCGUUAACACUCUUCAGAUGUGAUGUGGCAGACCAUCUGGUUGUAGUGAUCCUUUUGUGUGAGAAAAGGUGUGCUUUGGUGACUCUGGUGAUUGAAAGGUGUGGCGAGUACCGGUAAACUCGGCCACAGACGCUCUCGGAAUGGUAAGCUUGAAAGAGCUGCAGAAUGCAAGCUUGUGCUGAAGAAGCAAGAGGACAGUUGCCCCACAUGAAUGGCAAAGGGGGUGAUUGUUGGGUUGUUGCCAUUGCAUGUGCACCCAUCCAAGAUGUCAAAGGUUGGCAGCCACCAUUGUUGAAUGAGCUGGAGUUUGGCAGCCACCAAUGUUGACAACAAAGCAAGACACAGCUGCCAUGAAAUGCCUAUAAAUAGAGGCAUUAUGUGAGAGCAAAAUGUGAGAGAAGUGAGAGUGUGUGAGAACGUGAAGAGAAAGAGGAGCUGCUGCCAUGGGCAGCAGCCCUGCUGCCAUAUGCAGCAGAGUGUGUGAGAGGGAGUUGAGUGAUCCUCCUCCAUGUAUUUAUUGUAUCCUUUCUCUAUCUCUAAAUAAUAUAGACUCUCUCCCGUGGAUGUAGGCAAUUUGCCGAACCACGUAAAAUAUUGUGUCAGUGUGCUUAACCCUCCUAUGAGCAACCAUCAGUACACCACCGGUCCGCGCAUAGGGGAGCCGGAAUUGCCCAACACUUUCGACCUCAUAUGCCGUGCUUUGAAAACCCCGCUCCUUGAAAAACAAAAGCAAAACAAAGAAACUCGAGCAUUGUGCAACGGUUCUUGAGAACAGAUUGUUUGUCAGUGUGAGCGGCAACAGAAAUCGACUUGGUGAGUCUUUCACGUUACAAAUUUUGUGCUGUAGCUCCGCAAAUACUCUGCAAGCAGCAGAAUUGUAUUAAUCUGUGCUUUUCUCGCAAUAGUUUUCCUAUUGCCCAACGGCUUGUCUGUUGCAUGAUUUCCUCUGAACUUCCUUUUGGGUGUUUUCAAAGAUCUGUUUUUUACAGUCAUUUUUAUUUAGAAAUUUAUUACAAUAAUAAUCUUUAUUUUUUAAAAUUUAUUUUUAACAUAAAUGAUUCAAAAACAAUAAAAAAAAUUAAUUUGAAAAAAAAAACCCAAUAUUAAACGGCCUGUUAUUUCUGAAGUUGCCACUGUGAUGAGAGAAUGUAAGAAGCUAAACGUGAAUACAUCACUGCAAAAGGACCAGCACAUUUGGGCAUCACAGAAAUC